AACCUGCCCAAGAGAUCGGGAUAACACCUGGAAACAGAUGCUAAUACCGGAUAACAACAGAUGAUGCUUAUCAACUGUUUAAAAGAUGGUUCUGCUAUCACUCUUGGAUGGACCUGCGGUGCAUUAGCUAGUUGGUAGGGUAACGGCCUACCAAGGCGAUGAUGCAUAGCCGAGUUGAGAGACUGAUCGGCCACAUUGGGACUGAGACGCGGCCCAAACUCCUACGGGAGGCAGCAGGG
RNAcentral lists this ribosomal RNA (239 nucleotides) under uncultured Lactobacillus sp. Its description in RNAcentral is "partial 16S ribosomal RNA". It matches the Rfam family "Bacterial small subunit ribosomal RNA", at positions 123 to 354 of the family's 1533-position model. The record is from RNAcentral. Lineage: Bacteria; Bacillati; Bacillota; Bacilli; Lactobacillales; Lactobacillaceae.